RNAcentral lists this ribosomal RNA (422 nucleotides) under uncultured bacterium. RNAcentral describes it as "bacterial SSU rRNA". It matches the Rfam family "Bacterial small subunit ribosomal RNA", at positions 355 to 774 of the family's 1533-position model. The record is from RNAcentral.
UAAGGAAUAUUGGACAAUGGUCGCAAGACUGAUCCAGCCAUGCCGCGUGCAGGAAGACGGCCCUAUGGGUUGUAAACUGCUUUUGUACCAGAGAAAACCUAUCUACGUGUAGAUAGCUGAUAGUAUGGUAAGAAUAAGCAUCGGCUAACUUCGUGCCAGCAGCCGCGGUAAGACGAAGGAUGCAAGCGUUAUCCGGAUUCAUUGGGUUUAAAGGGUGCGUAGGCGGGCUUGUAAGUCAGUGGUGAAAUCUCUCAGCUUAACUGAGAAACUGCCAUUGGUACUGCAUGCCUAGAGUAUAGAUGACGUCGGCGGAAUAUGACAUGUAGUGGUGAAAUACUUAGAUAUGUCGUAGAACACCGAUUGCGAAGGCAGCUAACGAAACUAUAACUGACGCUGAGGCACGAAAGUGCGGGGAUCAAACA